CGGUGACAGGUGGUGCAUGGUUGUCGUCAGCUCGUGUCGUGAGAUGUUGGUUAAGUCCCGCAACGAGCGCAACCCCUAUUGUUAGUUGCCAUCAUUCAGUUGGGCACUCUAGCGAGACUGCCGGUAAUAAACCGGAGGAAGGUGGGGAUGCCGUCAAAUCAUCAUGCCCCUUAUGACCUGGGCUACACACGUGCUACAAUGGUUGGUACAACGAGUUGCGAGUCGGUGACGGCGAGCUAAUCUCUUAAAGCCAAUCUCAGUUCGGAUUGUAGGCUGCAACUCGCCUACAUGAAGUCGGAAUCGCUAGUAAUCGCGGAUCAGCACGCCGCGGUGAAUACGUUCCCGGGCCUU
Molecule: ribosomal RNA, 351 nt
Filed under: uncultured Streptococcus sp.
Lineage: Bacteria; Bacillati; Bacillota; Bacilli; Lactobacillales; Streptococcaceae
Description: bacterial SSU rRNA
Rfam family: Bacterial small subunit ribosomal RNA
Source: RNAcentral